AUGGUCUUGCCUGACCCGGCCGGUGCUAUUAUCUAUUCCUCUUGUCGGGAACUAAGACUGUGCUCCUCGCCUCUGCAAUCUGAAUUAGUUGCAUGCCUGAAAGGCUUGAACAUAGCGAUUCAAUGGAGUGAUCUACCAAUCAUUGUCCAAACAGAUUGUGUGCAGGCUGUUAAGCUUAUUACCAGCUCAGAUGAGAACCGGUCAACAAACUUGAUGUUGGCGCAAGAGAUCAAGGAGAUUCUCAAAGGAGAUAGAGAAAUUUUAGUCAAGCAUGUUAGACGGGAACAAAACUCGCUAGCCAUUUUUUAG
Molecule: ribosomal RNA, 309 nt
Filed under: Triticum aestivum (bread wheat)
Lineage: Eukaryota; Viridiplantae; Streptophyta; Magnoliopsida; Poales; Poaceae
Description: partial small subunit ribosomal RNA
Source: RNAcentral